RNAcentral lists this transfer RNA (71 nucleotides) under Candidatus Aenigmatarchaeota archaeon. RNAcentral describes it as "tRNA-Gly". It matches the Rfam family "tRNA". Rfam says of the family: Transfer RNA (tRNA) molecules are approximately 80 nucleotides in length. Their secondary structure includes four short double-helical elements and three loops (D, anti-codon, and T loops). Lineage: Archaea; Nanobdellati; Candidatus Aenigmatarchaeota. The record is from RNAcentral.
GCGCCAGUGGUCUAAUGGUAGAAUGCGACCUUCCCAAGGUUGAUAUCCGGGUUCGAUUCCCGGCUGGCGCA